Molecule: ribosomal RNA, 331 nt
Filed under: uncultured bacterium
Lineage: Bacteria
Description: bacterial SSU rRNA
Rfam family: Bacterial small subunit ribosomal RNA
Source: RNAcentral
ACUCCUACGGGAGGCAGCAGUGGGGAAUAUUGGACAAUGGGGGCGAACCCUGAUCCAGCCAUGCCGCGUGAGUGAUGAAGGCCUUAGGUUGUAAAGCUCUUUCAGCGAGGAGGAUAAUGACGUUACUCGCAGAAGAAGCCCCGGCUAACUUCGUGCCAGCAGCCGCGGUAAUACGAAGGGGGCUAGCGUUGUUUCGGAAUCACUGGGCGUAAAGCGCACGUAGGCGGAUUGAUAAGUUAGGGGUGAAAUCCCGGGCUCAACCUCGGAACUGCCUUUGAUACUGUCAGUCUUGAGUCCGAGAGAGGUGAGUGGAACUCCGAGUGUAGAGGUG